RNAcentral lists this ribosomal RNA (433 nucleotides) under uncultured bacterium. RNAcentral describes it as "partial 16S ribosomal RNA". It matches the Rfam family "Bacterial small subunit ribosomal RNA", at positions 29 to 507 of the family's 1533-position model. The record is from RNAcentral.
AACGAACGCUGGCGGCAGGCUUAACACAUGCAAGUCGAACGGAUCCUUCGGGAUUAGUGGCAGACGGGUGAGUAACGCGUGGGAACGUACCCUUUGCUACGGAAUAACUCAGGGAAACUUGAGCUAAUACCGUAUGUGCCCUACGGGGGAAAGAUUUAUCGGCAAAGGAUCGGCCCGCGUUGGAUUAGCUAGUUGGUGGGGUAAUGGCCUACCAAGGCGACGAUCCAUAGCUGGUCUGAGAGGAUGAUCAGCCACACUGGGACUGAGACACGGCCCAGACUCCUACGGGAGGCAGCAGUGGGGAAUAUUGGGCAAUGGGCGCAAGCCUGAUCCAGCCAUGCCGCGUGAGUGAUGAAGGUCUUAGGAUUGUAAAGCUCUUUCACCGGUGAAGAUAAUGACGGUAGCCGGAGAAGAAGCCCCGGCUAACUUCGUG